RNAcentral lists this long non-coding RNA (5527 nucleotides) under Olea europaea subsp. europaea. The record is from RNAcentral. Lineage: Eukaryota; Viridiplantae; Streptophyta; Magnoliopsida; Lamiales; Oleaceae.
AUUCAAAAAUUCCAGCACCAACUGAAAUCUGUGACCAACGAGCUAACAAACUCACCCCAAAUUUCCUCAAAACCUAAAACAGUAGACACUAUAGACCAACCCAUGUCCCCAAACUAACAAAACAUCGGUCACCACAACGUCAUCACCGAAAACUCCCGGCCACACCUCUUGGUGUUUAUCAACAACCCUAAACUUCACCAUCCAAGCCCAGAGUCAAAAGCCCCGUGUCCACGUCAACAACAAAACAGUCGUUGCAGUAACUUCAAGUUCCGACCGCAAUCAGUCAACCUCAAGCACCUAGGAUAUGUAUAUCGGCUCAGCAUCUGUCUUGGGUUUCUUGUCCUAAUUAAAUAACGUGUUUGUUUUAUUAUAUAGAGUAAUUUGGGCAUUUUGUAUUUUGGUUCAUUCAUUUAUAUAAAGGGAAAAAAAUAAGAAAACGGAAGGAAAAAAAAGAAGAAGAAGAAAUUGAGAGAGGGUGGGAUGGAGAAUUUUACUGUGUUAAACAUAUGCUUUUAUUUUAGUAUCUUAGCUUGCAAAUUUUAACGAAAAAAUGUUAUGGUGUGAAUAUUAAACGUUAGCAUUUCACUUGUUAAAAAAUGGAAGAAAACUUAUUCAAUCUUCGCUACCGUUUAAUGAGCUCCCAUCAUUACAUGAACCUACUGAGUUUUUAUUUUCACAGGUGGACCAAUUGCAUGUUGUUUUCAUGCUCACAUCUAUUAAUAUGAUCAUUUGUAUAUCUCAUGGGCACAUCCAUCAAUUCGUACACUACAGUAGUCAGGUAGUAAGGUUACUAGAUAUUAUGGCUAAUGCGAAGUAAUUCCUUAUCAUGUUGGACCUAGAUUGUGAGUAGAUGAUAAUUAACAUAGGGAAUGUCUUCACGUCCAUAGAGACUGUUAUGACCCUUACAUUGGAAGAUAUUGAUAAUAUCCCGUUAGACCUGAUUAUCCUUCUUUCAGAUUGUGGUCAAAAUAGACAUAAGGAGGCUACUCUCACUAGAUUUAGUGUAGUGAAAAGACUUUGUGAGAAGUGCACUAACACGAUCAAACCUUACUGGUCAUAAUCUAUAAAAUCUUUAUGGAUUUGUUAGAUUAUAGUGUAGUUUUUUCCUCAUUGUUCAUAGAAGUUAAUAGUUGUAAAGAGUGUAUGGCGUCCCCUACCGUAACCACAUCUGCAGUCGAUAUACUUUGUCAUAAUCUAGGACAUGUGAUUUAUCACAAGCUAAAGGUGAUAAUGAAGUCAAUGCUCAAGGGUCUCUCCCAAUUCAAGAUCACAUAUGACAUAGUUUGUGCUGGCUAUCAAUACAGUAAAGCACAUCAACUACUGUAUCAAGAGUCAAAUUAUAGAGCAAAAAAUCAUUGGAGAUGAUACACUCUGAUGUGUUUGGACCUAUCAAGCAACCAUCAAAUCAAGGGAUGCACUACAUGGUGACAUUUAUCGACGACUUCUCAAGGUACGUUUGGGUUUUCUUUAUGAAAGAAAAAUCUAAGAAAAAUCUAAGACAUUUAUAAAGUUUAAGAAAUUUAAAAAUAAAGCAGAAGGAGAAGUCAAAAAUAAGAUUCGAUGCCUACACACGAAUAAUAGGGGAGAGUAUAGAUCGGGAAUAUUCUCCUAGUACUGAAAAGAACAUAAGAUACACUAUCAAUUGACAUGUCCAAACACGCCACAACAGAAUGAUGUAGCAAAAAUAAAGAAUCGACACUUUGCAGAAAGGUGUCAAAUUAUGCUACAAGCAAAUUAUGUGUCAGAAAGGUUUGGGGCUGAGUAUAUGAGGACAACAGUUUAUAUGACCAACAAGUUAUCACAAUCAAAGCUGAGGUUCACUUCACCAUUUGAGAAAUUAUGGAAAAUAAAGCCAACAGUAAGUCGCUUUCAUGUCUUUGGCUGCAUCUGUUAUGUAUUUGUACUUGAUCACUUAAGGAGCAAGUUUGAUAAGAAGGCAAUUGGGUAUAUAUAUGUGGGAAAGAAAAGGAUAGAGAACAACCUAUCAUUGUUACAUGUCAACAAACGUGGUUUUUGAUGAAACAUCUUCAUAGUGAACACCGCAGAUGAUGGAGUUACUAAAUUCAAAGGAAAUGGAUGACAAAUUGCAAGAAGAUAUCAAAAAAGCACAAUAAAGUCUUGAUGAAACAAAAGAUACAAGAAUCAAGUGAUGAGAAUGAGUCUAUUGGCACAAUACAAAAUCCUUAGCAAAUUGGUGUACAUUUGACAACACCAUUGGAUAUACGGCCAAGUCAAUAAGAGGAGGCUGAGGUACGGACGAACCCAUAACUACAAUUGAGAAAAUCAACUAGAGAGAAAAACGAAACCCCAAAUAUGCUAAUGCAGCAGUAGAAGAAGAUGAUAGCGCUUAUGAGCCAAAGAUCUUUGAAGAAGCGAUCCAACACAAAGAGUGGAGAAAAGCAAUGGAAGAAGAGUUCAUGGCUCUAAAGUAAAAUGAGACUUGGAAUUUGAUGCUAAGGUCUGAUGGAGUAAAGCCUAUAUCAUGCAGGUGAGUAUUCAAAGAAAAGAAACGUCCAAAUGGAUCAAUUGAAAGAUACAAAGCUCAGCUAGUAGCUCAUGGAUUUUCCUAGCAAUAUGGUUUGUACUAUGAUGAGAUGUUUAGUCCAGUGGCAAAGAUUACUAUAGUAAGAGUACUUAUAGCUUUAGCAGUAAGCAAAUCUUGGACGUUGUGGCAGAUGGAUGUGAAAAAUGCAAUUCUCCAUGGAGAACUUGAUCGAAACAUAUACAUGGAGCAACUAAAGGGAUUCAAGAAUAAAAGAAAGCCAUGAUAUGUUUGCAAGCUAAAGAAAGCUCUUUAUGGUUAAAGCAAGCACCACAGGCAUGGUACAAUAAGAUAACGAAAUUCUUAGUUCAAAGCGGAUACUCCAUAGCACUAGGAAACUCGAGCUUAUUCAUCAAAAUAGAUAAUGAAAAACUAACAAUAGUGCUAGUAUACGUGGAUGAUCUUAUCAUCACUAGAGAUGAUGAAAAUGAAAUCCAACAAACCAAAAAGAAUCUAUCGGUGUGAUUCCAAAUGAAAAGAGUUUGGAGAGCUAAAUCAUUUUCUAGGACUCAAGAUGAAAAGAAUGAAAGAAGGAUUAUUCUUGUGCCAGCACAAAUAUGGCAGACAUCUCUCACAGAUGUUUUAAAUGAUCGACUGCAAACCAAUAUCGACACCAAUCGAGAUUAACUCCAAGCUACGUACAGAUGAAUGCAAGGACUUGGAGAAUGUAUCCAUGUAUUGACAACUAGUGGAAAGCUUAAUCUACUUGACACUAACAUGACCUAAACAUAGCGUACGCAGUUGGGAUAGCAAGUCGCUUCAUAAGAAAGUCGAAUAAGCCACAUCUUGAAGUGGUGCGAUGGAUGUUAAGGUAUGUAAAAGGAAUAACCGAUUAUGGACUCUUUUACAAGAAAAAUAAAUAUUACAAGAUAGUUAGCUAUUGUGAUACGAACUUUGUUGGAUGUCGUGAUAUACGAAGAUCGACAACUGGGUACGUGUUUAGUCUUGGGUCAACUAUAAUAUCAUAAUGCAGUAAAAGACAAUCAUGUCCUUGUCAACCGCAGAGGCUGAAUAUAGAGCAGUAGCUAUGGCAGAUCAAGAAAGUACACUGCUAAUACAAUUGAUGAAGGAUCUACAUCAACCAGUAAGCUAUGGAGUUAGAACUAUAUUCUAAUAAUCAAUCAGCUAUUCGUAUAGCAAAAAUCCAGUGUGCUAUACUAGAACUAAGCACGUCAAAGUGCGUUAUCAUUGCGUCAAAGAAAAGGUGCUUAAAGUGGAGAUAGUCUUGAAACAAGAGAUGUAUCCACUGGAUCGAAUCAGGAGGAUUUUUUCAGCCACAAGCAUAGUGACCAAAUAGACCCUCUCUUGUAGCUCGCUGAAAGAUCUGGAUGAGAACCAAUAAAAAGAAAUUAAGUAUAGAUCUUUAACUAAUUAAUUGAUACAAAAUGACACCUUCGAAGUUUUAUCAUUCAUAUCAUAUGCCUUUACAUCACCCUCAAGGAUGAUAGGUAUCUAUAGCUCAGGUAAUAUAGAAAAACUUGCAAGUUUGGAGAGCAAUUUUAAUUACAUUAAAAGGAUACUGGAGUUGGCAAUGAGAAGACUAAUAGUCGUGCAACAUAAGCUAGAUAGAAUCUUAAACGAACAAAGGAGAGAAAAUUUUCAAGCCAUCUUACUAUUCAAAUGAGGGAAGAUAAUGAGAGAAAAUAGAUUAUUCCAUUAUGAACUUAAAUAUCUAACUCUUCAGCGUAAGACCAUACUAGACAUGGAAGGGAUCCAUCUCUAGAAUAAUUGGUAAUUCAGUGGAAGAUGUAAGGUUGUACUUAGUUCUAACCUAUCAUUCUUUAUAAAUUCUAUUGUAUCUAAAUACUUCUCAAAGUAAGGAUAGGGAAACCUUUUAAUUAGGCGUCCAUGGUUUCUCUCAAUAGACACAUGAUACUUCUCCUUGUCAGGGGUUCUUUGCAGCAUAGGAGAGUCAAUAUCAGAAUCAACAUUUGAGAAGACUAAUUAUAAGUACAUCCGGUUUUUCAUUGCUAAUUGACUCACAUGCUUGUAUAGACUUUCUCGUUGUAGAGAAACUUCAAGAAUGGCAUCACCACCAUCUCGGGUUUUUACCCUGUUUGUCAUUCCCAAAACAAAAGAAAAAAAAAUUAUAUUUACCACACAUCAAUGAUAAGAUAAUGACUGAGUAAUUGUUCAGAAUGUGCACUAGACAUCUAAAUUAUACAUGUAGAACCACAUAUUGGUAUGUGACUAUUUUAGCAUAAAAGGAAGAUGAAGAAUAACAUAAUGCGGCCGCCCUAGCUGGCUUCACCGAAACUGCCACGUCGGCCACGGGAGAGUCUUUUUUUUCCUUCAGAGUUCAGUCAUCAGUGUCGUGAGUCAUAACUGUUGGCUUGGGUGUUGGGUUGUUGGCUGUUGGGCUUCAAUUUUUUUUUUAAAUCCGGCCCAACUAAAGAAGCCCAAAUGACCUGCAGCCUGCUCCACCUCCACUCCAUACCAUAUACCCAGAUUUUUACACCCGAAGCAGAGACGCGGUGACCAGAUUGAAGAUUCCCAAAUUUUUCCACCACCCACCAUUACCAUUUACCAAUCUAGGGCUCUCCCCGUCUUAGCCGUCAACCAUCGGUCCACCGGUCCACCACUAUCACAGGCCGCAGCAGCUAGCAGAUGCUGCAGUGCCACUCGCCAAGUCCGCUAGACCGCAGUGAAGCAGGCAGCCCACACGGGUCGCACUCCUCUUCAAAAAAUGCAAGAUUCUUUUAGACUUUUAGUUAUUUGAUGUUCGGUGAUUCGUGCAUGUGAUAUUGAUCUAAUUUUCCAAAAAUCUUGGAUUUCAUUUUGGCUGCAAGUCUGCAACUCCAGGCUCCAGCUCUAAAAUUUUUCUUAAAUUUUUCAUAUUUUUAUAUAUUUUGCAAUACUUGUGGGAAUUUAUUAAAGUGAUUGCUGAUUAUGUGAACUUCGAAGUGAAUGAGUUGAAAAUGCUAUUGUACUGCACUCUGCACUACUGCAUCGGCAUCCUCGUGUGAAGAACAGAAAGAAGCCCAG